This 457-nucleotide ribosomal RNA is filed under the name uncultured bacterium. RNAcentral's name for it is "partial 16S ribosomal RNA". It matches the Rfam family "Bacterial small subunit ribosomal RNA", at positions 28 to 523 of the family's 1533-position model. The record is from RNAcentral.
GAUGAACGCUGGCGGCGUGCCUAAUACAUGCAAGUCGAGCGGUAAGGCCCUUCGGGGUACACGAGCGGCAGACGGCUGAGUAACACGUAGGAACGUACCCCAAACUGAGGGAUAAGCCCCAGAAAUGGUGUCUAAUACCGCAUGUGGCCUUCGGGCUAAAGCUCCGGCGGUUUGGGAACGGCCUGCGUCCGAUUAGCUAGUUGGGAGUGUAAUGGACUACCAAGGCGACGAUCGGUAGCUGGUCUGAGAGGAUGAUCAGCCAGACUGGGACUGAGACACGGCCCAGACUCCUACGGGAGGCAGCAGUAGGGAAUUUUCCACAAUGGGGGCAACCCUGAUGGGGCAACGCCGCGUGCAGGAUGAAGGCCUUCGGGUUGUAAACUGCUUUUAUCUGUGACGAUUAUGACGGUAGCAGAUGAAUAAGGACCUGCUAACUACGUGCCAGCCGCCGCAGUAA